UACGUAGGGGGCAAGCGUUAUCCGGAUUUACUGGGUGUAAAGGGAGCGUAGACGGCUGUGCAAGCCAGAUGUGAAAGCCCGGGGCUCAACCCCGGGACUGCAUUUGGAACUGUGUAGCUGGAGUGUCGGAGAGGCAGGCGGAAUUCCUAGUGUAGCGGUGAAAUGCGUAGAUAUUAGGAGGAACACCAGUGGCGAAGGCGGCCUACUGGACGGUGACUGACGCUGAGGCUCGAAAGCGUGGGGAGCAAACAGG
RNAcentral lists this ribosomal RNA (253 nucleotides) under uncultured bacterium. Its description in RNAcentral is "partial 16S ribosomal RNA". It matches the Rfam family "Bacterial small subunit ribosomal RNA", at positions 524 to 776 of the family's 1533-position model. The record is from RNAcentral.